This 253-nucleotide ribosomal RNA is filed under the name uncultured bacterium. RNAcentral's name for it is "partial 16S ribosomal RNA". It matches the Rfam family "Bacterial small subunit ribosomal RNA", at positions 524 to 776 of the family's 1533-position model. The record is from RNAcentral.
UACGUAGGGUGCGAGCGUUGUUCGGAAUUACUGGGCGUAAAGGGCGCGUAGGCGGACCUGUAAGUCGGAUGUGAAAGCCCCGGGCUCAACCCGGGAAGUGCACUCGAUACUGCCGAGCUAGAGUAUCGGAGAGGUUGGUGGAAUUCUCGGUGUAGAGGUGAAAUUCGUAGAUAUCGAGAGGAACACCGGUGGCGAAGGCGGCCAACUGGACGAAUACUGACGCUGAGACUCGAAAGCGUGGGGAGCAAACAGG